UCUCCGUAGGUGAACCUGCGGAGGGAUCAUUACAAGUGACCCCGGUCUUACCACCGGGAUGUUCAUAACCCUUUGUUGUCCGAUUCUGUUGCCUCCGGGGCGACCCUGCCUUCGGGCGGGGGCUCCGGGUGGACACUUCAAACUCUUGCGUAACUUUGCAGUCUGAGUAAACUUAAUUAAUAAAUUAAAACUUUUAACAACGGAUCUCUUGGUUCUG
RNAcentral lists this unclassified non-coding RNA (217 nucleotides) under plant metagenome. Its description in RNAcentral is "partial contains small subunit ribosomal RNA, internal transcribed spacer 1, and 5.8S ribosomal RNA". The record is from RNAcentral.